AAAAAAAACCAUUGGGACGCAGAAAUCUAGAUCAUCAAUACUAAUUCGACAAGUUGCGAAAAUUACUCUACCAGUAGUCACACUUUGAUAUCUCAGACAGCUUAAGCUUCUGCUUCGAGUUGUAAUGGAAGCGAGGAAAGUCGCCUCUUCUGAAUGCGGGGAGGAAGAUGCUUGGUGUACUUCUUGGGGCUAACUGUCCAGGGUAAGAAUACCCCUGUGCCAUUGCUG
RNAcentral lists this unclassified non-coding RNA (228 nucleotides) under Hevea brasiliensis (rubber tree). Lineage: Eukaryota; Viridiplantae; Streptophyta; Magnoliopsida; Malpighiales; Euphorbiaceae. The record is from RNAcentral.